CGCUGGCGGCGUGCCUAAUACAUGCAAGUCGAGCGAAUGGAUUAAGAGCUUGCUCUUAUGAAGUUAGCGGCGGACGGGUGAGUAACACGUGGGUAACCUGCCCAUAAGACUGGGAUAACUCCGGGAAACCGGGGCUAUACCGGAUAACAUUUUGAACCGCAUGGUUCGAAAUAAAAAGGCGGCUUCGGCUGUAACUUAUGGAUGGACCCGCGUCGCAUUAGCUAGUUGGUGAAGUAACGGCUCACCAAGGCAACGAUGCGUAGCCGACCUGAGAGGGUGAUCGGCCACACUGGGACUGAGAAACGGCCAAGACUAAUUCAGGAGGCCGCCGUCUGCAAUCUUCUUGAAUGCACGAAAGUCUGACGGAGCCACGCCUCGUGAGUGAUGAAGGCUUUCGGGGGGUGCGACUCUGUUGGGAGGGAACAACAAGUGCUAGUUGAACGAGCUGGCAACUUGAUGCCACCUAAUGUGAAAGCGCUCGGCUAACUACGUGCCAGCAGCCGCGGUAAUACGUAGGUGGCAAGCGUUAUCCGGAAUUAUUGGGCGUAAAGCGCGCGCAGGUGGUUUCUUAAGUCUGAUGUGAAAGCCCACGGCUCAACCGUGGAGGGUCAUUGGAAACUGGGAGACUUGAGUGCAGAAGAGGAAAGUGGAAUUCCAUGUGUAGCAGGGAAAUGCGUAGAGAUAUGGAGGAACAGGAGUGGCGAAGGCGACAAUCUGGUCUGUAACUGACACUGAGGCGCGUUAGCGUGGGGAGCAAACAGGGUUAGAUAGGGUGGUUCUCCACGCCGUAAACGAUGAGUGCUAAGUGUUAGAGGGUUUCCGCCCUUUAGUGCUGAAGUUAACGCAUUAAGCACUCCGCCUGGGGAGUACGGCCGCAAGGCUGAAACUCAAAGGAAUUGACGGGGGCGGGCACUUGCGGUGGAGCAUGUGGAAUUUUUCGAAGCAACGCGAAGAACCUUACCAGGUCUUGACAUCCUCUGAAAACCCUAGAGAUAGGGCUUCUGGUUCGGGAGCAGAGUGACAGGUGGUGCAUCCUUGUCGUCAGCUCGUGUCGUGAGAUGUUGGGAAAAGUCCCGCUUCGAGCGCAACCCUUGAUCUUAGUUGCCAUCAUUAAGUUGGGCACUCUAAGGUG
Molecule: ribosomal RNA, 1132 nt
Filed under: Bacillus sp. PRV21
Lineage: Bacteria; Bacillati; Bacillota; Bacilli; Caryophanales; Bacillaceae
Description: bacterial SSU rRNA
Rfam family: Bacterial small subunit ribosomal RNA
Source: RNAcentral